AGAAAUUAACAAGUACUAAUGCAGUCCUUUGCAUGCUAUUUCAUCUUCAAUUUCAAUGAACCUUUAUCUUAAUAUAUAACCCAAAAAUAGUUUCUACAUUUGUUUCAAUCUGCGCAAGAGAUGUUUUUGGAAGCUCUUUUAUAAAAUUAUAAGACUUCUCAUUUACUUUAGUUUAAGUGUCACUCAUUAGAUUCAGUAAUAUACUAAUUUAUAUAAUAUCUUCUAUGGUGCCAAUUUUACAUAUAGUUGAAAGCUUAUGCUACUGCACGAAUUGAUAGUACUCGAUAAACUAUGCUCAAGUAGAUAUAUUAUGUGCAUUGAGAACCUUUUGCAACUAUCUGCAGGGACAAAUUAG
Long non-coding RNA from Solanum verrucosum, 355 nucleotides. RefSeq lists it as uncharacterized. Lineage: Eukaryota; Viridiplantae; Streptophyta; Magnoliopsida; Solanales; Solanaceae. The record is from RefSeq and is a predicted model, not a curated record. The transcript has 2 exons.